ACUGGAACUGAGAACGGUCCAGACUCCUACGGGAGGCAGCAGUAGGGAAUUUUCCACAAUGGACGAAAGUCUGAUGGAGCAACGCCGCGUGCAGGAUGAAGGCCCUCGGGUCGUAAACUGCUUUUAUAUGUGACGAUUAUGACGGUAGCAUAUGAAUAAGGAUCGGCUAACUCCGUGCCAGCAGCCGCGGUCAUACGGAGGAUCCAAGCGUUAUCCGGAAUUACUGGGCGUAAAGAGUUGCGUAGGUGGCAUUGUAAGUGAGUAGUGAAAGCGUUCGGCUCAACCGAAUAAACAUUAUUUAAACUGCAAAGCUAGAGGAUGAGAGAGGUUAUUGGAAUUCCUAGUGUAGGAGUGAAAUCCGUAGAUAUUAGGAGGAACACCGAUGGCGUAGGCAGAUAACUGGCUCAUUCCUGACACUAAGGCACGAAAGCGUGGGUAGCAAACGGGAUUAGAUACCCCGGUAGUCCACGCCGUAAACGAUGGAUGCUAGUUGUUAUCGGUAUCGACCCCGGUAGUAGCGAAGCUAACGCGUUAAGCAUCCCGCCUGUGGAGUACGGUCGCAAGACUAAAACAUAAAGGAAUUGACGGGGACCCGCACAAGCGGUGGAGCGUGUUGUUUAAUUCGAUGGUAAGCGAAGAACCUUACCCAGGUUUGACAUCCUUGGAAUUUCUGCGAAAGCAGAGAGUGCUUUAUUGAGCCAAGUGACAGGUGUUGCAUGGCCGUCGUCAGCUCGUGUCGUGAGAUGUUUGGUUAAGUCCAUCAACGGGCGCAACCCUUGUAAGUAGUUGAAUUUUUCUACUCAGACUGCCCUGGCAACAGGGAGGAAGGAGGGGAUGAUGUCAGGUCAGUAUUACCCUUAUAUCUGGGGCCACAAACACGCUACAAUGGCCGGUACAAAGGGCAGCCAAGUCGCAAGACGGAGCAAAUCCCAUCAAAGCCGGUCUCAGUUCGGAUAGCAGGCUGAAACUCGCCUGCUUGAAGUCGGAAUCGCUAGUAACGGUAGGUCAGCUAUACUACCGUGAAUACGUUCCCGGGUCUUGUACACACCGCCCGUCAAACCAUGAAAGUCGCCAAUACCUGACGUGCCAGCUUGCCUGGCCCUAAGGUAGGGGAGAUGAUUGGGGUU
This 1127-nucleotide ribosomal RNA is filed under the name uncultured bacterium NoosaAW16. RNAcentral's name for it is "bacterial SSU rRNA". It matches the Rfam family "Bacterial small subunit ribosomal RNA", at positions 312 to 1482 of the family's 1533-position model. Lineage: Bacteria; Candidatus Saccharimonadota. The record is from RNAcentral.